AGUGGCUGGGCCAUGCUGAGCACACUGGGUCUCAGCUGAUCUCAGAAGCUAAGGAAGGUUGCGCCUGGUUAGUACUUGGAGAGGAGGACACAUGAUGGUGAGAAACCGGGAAGCAGCUCCUU
This 122-nucleotide ribosomal RNA is filed under the name Otolemur garnettii (small-eared galago). The record is from RNAcentral. Lineage: Eukaryota; Metazoa; Chordata; Mammalia; Primates; Galagidae.